UUUUAACAGACCUUGUAGAUCUACUCAAAACAGUGGUACUGGAAAUAAAAUUAGGAGGAAUUAGUGCAUCAUCCUCAUGAAUUUGAGGAUCAGGAUGGCAAUGUGUGGAGGUGAAGGAAUAUAUGUACUAAAUGAUAGAUCAUCCUCCACCGAGGUAGGGGAAUCAAAAUGAAAAAUAGAUACAGUGAACAUAAUAGUGGCAAAAG
RNAcentral lists this long non-coding RNA (206 nucleotides) under Capsicum annuum. RNAcentral describes it as "long non-coding RNA (CANN_LNC012159)". Lineage: Eukaryota; Viridiplantae; Streptophyta; Magnoliopsida; Solanales; Solanaceae. The record is from RNAcentral.